This is a long non-coding RNA of Zalophus californianus (California sea lion), 558 nucleotides long. RefSeq lists it as uncharacterized. The record is from RefSeq and is a predicted model, not a curated record. The transcript has 3 exons. NCBI's taxonomy places the organism in Eukaryota, Metazoa, Chordata, Mammalia, Carnivora, Otariidae.
UGCCAGCCAAGGAUCCAGAGGAGAUAAGACCAAGGAGAUACGGUAGUUAAGUGUGGGCAUCACCCAGGCUUGGUGGCAGGAUAAUUCAUUAGGUGUGCAUACCAAGGAACACCUGGAGCUCCAGCAUCUUGUCUCCUGUACCCAGUAUGGGCAGACUCUUAACACAUCUGUAAUGAUGGAUGGAAAUUCUUCACCUCCGUGAGUUUGCCAAAGGCAACAGAGGACUGCCGGAAUUCAGACUUGCUGGUGGCAGAUCAGCGGUGGCCACAGGAGAAGAAAACAGCAUGGGGACUAGCGUGACUGGAAGGAAGAAGCCUGGGUCCCAGGCUCCCUGCGUGAUCUCACGGAGCAGAGCCUCCUAUCCUGACUGGCCCUGGACCUUUGACAACAGUUGAUCAUCACAUAAGAGACUAAUUAUCAAAUUGAAUGAACAACUGAAUAUUUAAAACGGAGGUAAAGACAAAAGAUACGAAAUAGUCAAAGGAGAGGAAAUAUGAAUACCUUUUGAACAUAUGAAACAAUGCUCAAUUUACUCCUAAUAGGAAAAAGCAAAUUAAA